GACGAACGCUGGCGGCGUGCUUAACACAUGCAAGUCGAACGGUAAGGCCCUUCGGGGUACACGAGUGGCGAACGGGUGAGUAACACGUGGGUGAUCUGCCCUGCACUUCGGGAUAAGCCUGGGAAACUGGGUCUAAUACCGGAUAGGACCCUGGGAUGCAUGUCCUGGGGUGGAAAGCUUUUGCGGUGUGGGAUGGGCCCGCGGCCUAUCAGCGUGUGGGUGGGGUGAUGGCCUACCAAGGCGACGACGGGUAGCCGGCCUGAGAGGGUGACCGGCGACGCUGGGACUGAGAUAGGGCCCAGACUCCUACGGGAGGCAGAAGUGGGGAAUAUUGCACAAUGGGCGCAAGCCUGAUGCAGCGACGCCGCGUGGGGGAUGACGGCCUUCGGGUUGUAAACCUCUCGCAGCAUCGACGAAGCGAAAGUGACGGUAGGUGCAGAAGAAGGACCGGCCAACUACGUGCCAGCCGCCGCCGUAA
This 478-nucleotide ribosomal RNA is filed under the name uncultured bacterium. RNAcentral's name for it is "partial 16S ribosomal RNA". It matches the Rfam family "Bacterial small subunit ribosomal RNA", at positions 28 to 523 of the family's 1533-position model. The record is from RNAcentral.